This is a non-coding RNA of Penaeus vannamei (Pacific white shrimp), 710 nucleotides long. Lineage: Eukaryota; Metazoa; Arthropoda; Malacostraca; Decapoda; Penaeidae. The record is from RefSeq and is a predicted model, not a curated record.
GUGCCAGCCAUGCCGUCUCGUCAAAAUUCGAAAUUCUCCGGAAGGGAAAAGCAGCUCCUGGGCAGCCUGACCGUGAAAAGAACCAUUAUUAGGUCCAAGAAAAUGAAUCGAUUCGUGUUUCGGAAGAAGAAGGAAGCGUGGAAUGAAAUUACAAAGGCCUUUAACGCAGAAGGAAUUGGAAAAACUCGGACUGCAAGUGAACUGAAAAGUCUGUGGGGUAACCGAAACAAAGAAGUCGACGUACAGCAAAGCGGCGCCUCCCAGGACACACUGGCGACCGGGCAUAAUGAACAUUAAGCCAGGGCACAGCAGAUGCAUCCCGUAACCCUCCUCAUAGUGAAGGAAGCGAUGCGGGUAGAUCUGUAGCCCCUGCAGGUGGGCAACAGAUUUAUGCUGGUACUGUGAAGGUUGAAAUCCCUGUUCAAGAGAGUGCUACUGAUGAAGUAUUAGCUGCUAGUACUGAUUUGGAUCACGAUACGAAGGAGAAUAUUAUUCCUGUUUAUGCAGUGGAAGAAGGGAUGUGGAAGGCCAAGAUAUUGGAGACACAGGCCAAGAUAGAGGAAGCCCAGCUGAAGAGCUUAGAAAGACAAGCCAACAUAGAAGAGGUCCAGUUAAGGUGUCUGGAGAGGCAAGCCAGGUCGAAUGAAGCCAAACUGAAGGUUCACGAGAGAAAGGCGAAACUAGAUGAGGUUCAUUUGAGAAACCUGGAG